Long non-coding RNA from Oryctolagus cuniculus (rabbit), 2122 nucleotides. Lineage: Eukaryota; Metazoa; Chordata; Mammalia; Lagomorpha; Leporidae. The record is from Ensembl.
UGAACCAUCUUUAUUUAUUUAUUUUACAGGUUACUGCUGUUCCAUUUAAGGAGUUAAGGCUUGACUUCUCCCAAGGGUGUUUGCAUUCUCCAGGGAACUUUUGAACACCGAAAACCGUUAUUUGCCAACAGAGUCUUCGAUGAACGUGACAAUGUCUGAUUGUGGCCAGAUUGAGCAGCAUACAAGAAAAACCUCACGACCUGAAUGAACGAAUUUAUCAGAGGGAAAAUGAAUUCCUGGACCCCACAUCGACCCUGUGAGACAGAGUCUCCAAAGAGAGUCAGGCUCUCCAUUGGCUUCCAUGCACCUUGCAAUGGCACAGUGCACACUGACAACUACUGCAGAGAGUCCAUGGCAGGCUUGCUGGGAAACUGGCCUUCCCGUCUUCUACUUGAAUGCUUUCAAGGGUGAGAUGACCAUUGCCUAACAGGGCCAGCCCUUUUCAUUUUGGGUCAGGUCCCACUGAUUGGACUUUUUUCUUUUCUCCCAUAAUGAACUGAAAUCUGUUUCCUCAUGUCCCUCUUAAGUGGUACUACGGUAUUCACUUGUCUGGAGACAGCUGUCCUGGUGAGCUUGUGUUGUCUUCGCCUUGUGUUAACAUUUUCCAAAACAUGGAGAUCGACUCUGUAAGAGAAUGCCACAGGAAGAGGCGACUGAGGAGUGUGGCCAUGUGAGUGACCAUCUACAUUGAGGGUGAAAGGGGACUCCUGCUGGAUGGUGCCCUGGACCACCAGGCAAGUUCAGCCGCCUGUUCUCAGUAUAGAACAUACAGGUGGACAUUUGCUUGUGUGCCUAGCUUUUUCCGUGCUUCUUCCAGCUGCAUGUGCAUGCUAAGAAAAACCAUCACAUUGAAGAGUUCCAUAAUCAAAGAAAGAGAAAUUAGUCAAUAGCAAUCUUUUUUUAAAGAUUUAUUUAUUUGAAAGACAAAGUUACAGAGAGGCAGAGGCAGAGAGAGACAGAGAGAUCGUCCAUCCGCUGGUUCACUCCCCAAAUGGCCUCCAGCAGCUAGAGCUGGGCUGAUCCGAAGCCAGAAGCCAGGAGCCAGAAGCUUCUUCCGGGUCUUCCAUGUGGGUGCAGGGAUCCAAGCACUUGGACCAUCUUCUACUGCUUUCCCAGGCCAUAGCAGAGAGCUGGAUCAGAAGUGGAGCAGCCGGGUCUCGAACCAGUGUCCAUAUAGGAUGCUGACAGUGCAGGCAGCGGCUUUACCUGCUAUGCCACAGUGCUGGCCCCAAGUAGCAAUCUUUGAACAUUAAGUAAAUUCAGUUGCCCUUCUUGGUGGCUCUUCAAGCGGUUAUUAGUUUCUAAGCCACCACCACUUUAAAGAACAUUUCUAUUAUUAUCAUCAUUUUUAGGUUUGUGUGCAAAACUUUUUAUUUAAAGGUCAAGGAAUAUUUUUCCAUGUUCUUUCUAAUGACAUAUGAGCAUUAGCCACAAACUCAGGCUUCUGUAACACAGGCCCCAUUGUCAGUGAUAGUAAGCACAGGGCAGAGAACUCUGGGAAGUAAACCACAUGUUUAUGGGACUUUCAGCUUUAUGAGAAUAUUGGCAGUUCUGGAGGUUCUUUGUGAGACUAUGGGACACAAAGUAAGGAUUAUUUAUGAAAAGUCUCCACAAAAUGUGGGCCUUUGAAGCAUAGUGGAGAAUUGAGACAAACCCACAUACACUCCCACCUCCAAAUAUUUUAACCAUUCUUUUUGGGGUGCAAGUGGCUUUGAACUCUGUCUCAUUUGCUUUGUCAGGAAUCCACCUCUUUUCCAUUAUAUAGAUCGAGCUAAGUUCUGAGUGGAAAUAAGUUUAGACAAGAAGCCUAGCUCCCACGGGGACAUUGACAUCACUGCCUGAUUGUUUCCAUUCUGAAACUUGGUCAGAUUCUGAAAAACAGCCAGUCACCAGGAACAACCAAGGUUGCUGUUUACACUCACAAGAAGCUUCUGAGAGGAGCAGUGCCACUUCUUGGGAUUCCUGGCUGUCCAUUUUAUGGUAUAAAUUAAUGGCUUUCUUGGUUUGGCUGAGAAUGCUGAAUUCCUCUUCACAGAGUCACUUUUCCAUAGUGAGACAGUCGUCUUCAACACAUCUUCACUCCUCCAUUGGCAAGAAAUAAAGCAAAGAACAUGAAAGCUCA